This 492-nucleotide ribosomal RNA is filed under the name uncultured bacterium. RNAcentral describes it as "partial 16S ribosomal RNA". It matches the Rfam family "Bacterial small subunit ribosomal RNA", at positions 29 to 507 of the family's 1533-position model. The record is from RNAcentral.
AGUGAACGCUGGCGGUAGGCCUAACACAUGCAAGUCGAACGGCAGCACAGUAAGAGCUUGCUCUUACGGGUGGCGAGUGGCGGACGGGUGAGGAAUACAUCGGAAUCUACUUUUUCGUGGGGGAUAACGUAGGGAAACUUACGCUAAUACCGCAUACGACCUACGGGUGAAAGCAGGGGAUCUUCGGACCUUGCGCGAUUGAAUGAGCCGAUGUCGGAUUAGCUAGUUGGCGGGGUAAAGGCCCACCAAGGCGACGAUCCGUAGCUGGUCUGAGAGGAUGACCAGCCACACUGGAACUGAGACACGGUCCAGACUCCUACGGGAGGUAGCAGUGGGGAAUAUUGGACAAUGGGCGCAAGCCUGAUCCAGCCAUACCGCGUGGGUGAAGAAGGCCUUCGGGUUGUAAAGCCCUUUUGUUGGGAAAGAAAAGCAGCAGGUUAAUACCCCGCUGUUCUGACGGUACCCAAAGAAUAAGCACCGGCUAACUUCGUG